AUUGAACGCUGGCGGCAGGCCUAACACAUGCAAGUCGAGCGGUAGAGAGGUGCUUGCAUCUCUUGAGAGCGGCGGACGGGUGAGUAAUGCCUAGGAAUCUGCCUAGUGGUGGGGGAUAACGUUCGGAAACGGACGCUAAUACCGCAUACGUCCUACGGGAGAAAGCGGGGGAUCUUCGGACCUCGCGCCAUUAGAUGAGCCUAGGUCGGAUUAGCUAGUUGGUGAGGUAAUGGCUCACCAAGGCGACGAUCCGUAACUGGUCUGAGAGGAUGAUCAGUCACACUGGAACUGAGACACGGUCCAGACUCCUACGGGAGGCAGCAGUGGGGAAUAUUGGGACAAUGGGCGAAAGCCUGAUCCAGCCAUGCCGCGUGUGUGAAGAAGGUCUUCGGAUUGUAAA
RNAcentral lists this ribosomal RNA (400 nucleotides) under uncultured bacterium. Its description in RNAcentral is "bacterial SSU rRNA". It matches the Rfam family "Bacterial small subunit ribosomal RNA", at positions 30 to 429 of the family's 1533-position model. The record is from RNAcentral.